This 529-nucleotide unclassified non-coding RNA is filed under the name Hevea brasiliensis (rubber tree). The record is from RNAcentral. Lineage: Eukaryota; Viridiplantae; Streptophyta; Magnoliopsida; Malpighiales; Euphorbiaceae.
CUCUCUCCUUCUCUAUAUCAGAGCCUCUUGGGACAGUGAUAUACCACAAAAUUGAGGAUUCCUCAAGACAAGAUUAUGUUGGUUUAUGGCAUUCUGCCAGAUUUGUCUCAUAUGGAAAUAUAGAUAAAUGAUCUUGGAGCAGCUUGUUGCAGUGUAAUAAAGUUACAAGGCUCGUUUAGCUGAUUUUUUCAGAGAAAAUCCAAGAGUCCCUGAUUAGAUGCCGCAUUUUUGUGGUUCAGUUAUCAGUUAAGUUCCAAAGGCAGUCCAAACUGAUUGAGUGUUCAAUGCAAGCAUCACAACAACUCGGAAGUAAAGGCAUGUCUAGUAGAUUGUACUAUCAGCCAAUGCAGGAAGUUGAGGCCUACUGCAUGCCUCAGUUCCAAACUUUGGACCACCAGCUAUGCUACAGUGGGAGCAGCCAUGGAACCCGUUUAUCCAUUCUGAAUUCCCGUGAACAAUACUGCACCCUGGAGUCAUCUUCAGCAAAUCACAGUUAUAACAUUUACAACUCUCCGUCAACCAUUAGUUU